Long non-coding RNA from Marmota monax (woodchuck), 533 nucleotides. RefSeq lists it as uncharacterized. NCBI's taxonomy places the organism in Eukaryota, Metazoa, Chordata, Mammalia, Rodentia, Sciuridae. The transcript has 3 exons. The record is from RefSeq and is a predicted model, not a curated record.
CCGAAGGCGCCCUUGGCGCGCCUGCGCAGGAUCCCCCUCGCCAUAGAGCGCGCGGAGGACAAGAUCCUGCUGAAUCUUGGUGGUGACCGUCGCCCGUCGGUGGUCGCUUCCUCUCCCCCCCUCCACUUUACCCUCGGUAUGGCCGCCGCGGGGGCCUCCUAAAUCGCUGUAAACCUGGACCACACCCCUCAGCCUUCCAUCGCUCCCCAGGAGAAGACCCUGGAGACCCUCGACUGUCCAGCCUCAGGCAAACUCUCCGGGUCCCGCCCCCUCGGAGCCCUGCACGUUUUAUCUUCUGUGCAGCUUUUCCAAACCCAGGGCCUCCGCGCAAACGGGGGCACCACGUCCUUUAAGGCUCUGCUGUCGUUCCCCACUUGGAAGCAUCAUCUAUCCCACCCAAACCUCUUGUCCCAUCAUCUGGCCCACCUUUCCCACCACCGCCAGCAGUCACCCUAGAAGACAGGGCUGUGCGCAGGCCUGCGGCUGGGGAAGGCUCUGGGGGCCCCCAGGCGCCUGGGAUGAAGCCAGGUAAG